UUGACCUCGGAUCAGGUAGGAAUACCCGCUGAACUUAAGCAUAUCAAUAAGCGGAGGAAAAGAAACCAACAGGGAUUGCCUCAGUAACGGCGAGUGAAGCGGCAACAGCUCAAAUUUGAAAUCUGGCCCCCAGGCCCGAGUUGUAAUUUGUAGAGGAUGAUUCUGGCGACGCGCCUUCCGAGUUCCCUGGAACGGGACGCCAAAGAGGGUGAGAGCCCCGUCCGGUCGUGCGCCUAGCCUCUGUGAAUCUCCUUCGACGAGUCGAGUAGUUUGGGAAUGCUGCUCUAAAUGGGAGGUAUACGUCUUCUAAAGCUAAAUACCGGCCAGAGACCGAUAGCGCACAAGUAGAGUGAUCGAAAGAUGAAAAGCACUUUGAAAAGAGGGUUAAAUAGUACGUGAAAUUGCUGAAAGGGAAGCGCUUAUGACCAGACUUGGGCGUGGUGAAUCAUCCGGCGUUCUCGCCGGUGCACUUUGCCUGUCCAGGCCAGCAUCAGUUCGCUUCGGGGGAUAAAGGCUUCGGGAAUGUAGCUCCCUCGGGAGUGUUAUAGACCGUUGCGUAAUACCCUGGGGUGGACUGAGGUACGCGUUCUGCAAGGAUGCUGGCGUAAUGGUCAUCAGUGACCCGUCUUG
RNAcentral lists this ribosomal RNA (630 nucleotides) under Geosmithia sp. CCF3641. RNAcentral describes it as "eukaryotic LSU rRNA". It matches the Rfam family "Eukaryotic large subunit ribosomal RNA", at positions 1 to 656 of the family's 3401-position model. The record is from RNAcentral. Lineage: Eukaryota; Fungi; Ascomycota; Sordariomycetes; Hypocreales; Bionectriaceae.